GGGCAUCGACAGCUACCAUGCAGUCGAGGGGUAUAGAGAGCUUGCUUUCUAGAGACCGGCGGAUGGGUGAGUAACGCGUAUGCAACCUACCUUUUACAGGGGAAUAGCCCGGAGAAAUUCGGAUUAAUGCUCCAUGGUUUAUAUGAAUGGCAUCGUUUGUAUAAUAAAGAUUUAUCGGUAAAAGAUGGGCAUGCGUAUCAUUAGCUAGUUGGUGUGGUAACGGCAUACCAAGGCUACGAUGAUUAGGGGUCCUGAGAGGGAGAUCCCCCACACUGGUACUGAGACACGGACCAGACUCCUACGGGAGGCAGCAGUGAGGAAUAUUGGUCAAUGGAGGCAACUCUGAACCAGCCAUGCCGCGUGCAGGAUGACGGUCCUAUGGAUUGUAAACUGCUUUUGUACGGGAAGAAAUGUAAUUACGUGUAAUUAUUUGACGGUACCGUAAGAAUAAGGAUCGGCUAACUCCGUGCCAGCAGCCGCGGUAAUACGGAGGAUCCGAGCGUUAUCCGGAAUUAUUGGGUUUAAAGGGUUCGUAGGCGGUUGAGUAAGUCAGUGGUGAAAUCUUAUAGCUUAACUAUAAAAUUGCCGUUGAUACUGCUUGACUUGAAUAGUAUGGAAGUAAUUAGAAUAUGUAGUGUAGCGGUGAAAUGCUUAGAUAUUACAUGGAAUACCAAUUGCGAAGGCAGAUUACUACGUACUUAUUGACGCUGAUGAACGAAAGCGUGGGUAGCGAACAGGAUUAGAUACCCUGGUAGUCCACGCCGUAAACGAUGGAUACUAGCUGUUCGGUUUUCGGACUGAGUGGCUAAGCGAAAGUGAUAAGUAUCCCACCUGGGGAGUACGUUCGCAAGA
RNAcentral lists this ribosomal RNA (852 nucleotides) under Myroides odoratus. RNAcentral's name for it is "bacterial SSU rRNA". It matches the Rfam family "Bacterial small subunit ribosomal RNA", at positions 40 to 893 of the family's 1533-position model. The record is from RNAcentral. Lineage: Bacteria; Pseudomonadati; Bacteroidota; Flavobacteriia; Flavobacteriales; Flavobacteriaceae.